ACCGGAUUUAAUAUCUUCAUUAGUCAAAGUCUUAACAUAUUCAUGAUAAAAAGCCAUUGCAAAUGUGUGCCUCGUCGCACCAUCAACAUUGUAGGAGGUUUGAUGUCAUUCCCAAACCUAUCCCUGACCCUUACAAUGACAACUUUGGGGUGUUGUAUGGCAGAAUGACAUCCAACCACCAAACUUUAGACCAUAAAAAUCAUUCAAGCAUCACCACCCAUAUGUGAAGAAAACGUAUCCUUCCUCUUUGUGUACUCUUCAAAUUCAUUUCCACUUAGGUGAGUUAAAAGACAGUAAUAUUUUACUGAAAAACCAAACUCUCUCAUAAGUUCUCAUUUGCAGUAGACUACACCUGACAUCUUCGGCAUAAGUAUAUUCAAAUUUUAAACAUCAAUAGACACAUAGUAAUACAUACUCUUAAAUUAAGUAAUGACAGGGCAAUAUAAUGGUUGUUGAAGUUCAUGGUUAAAUUGGUACACCUCCUAUUUGCAAGUGACUUUUUGAGAUAGGCUGAUUAUGCAAUGGACAUGGACAGAUAGACUAUUUGCCUCAGGUUGUUUGGUUUUUAAACGGGUAGUUAUUUUGGCGGACUGACUAUUUGUCUCUGCAAAUUUAUGGGUAGUUAAUGGUAGAAUGAAGAGUUGUCAUUGAUGCAUCUCUGUAAUAUUGCAGUCAUAAUAAAUGACACUUAUUAAUGGUUGUGCGGGAUUACGAUUCGAAGAGGUUGAAUCUGCAGCUCCUUGCCUACUGCAGAGUCAUAAUUAGUAGAGGCUGCCUUUGAUUCUUAUUGUGCAUUUUAGGCGGAAAAAUGGCCUCUGAUUUUGCC
This 826-nucleotide long non-coding RNA is filed under the name Cicer arietinum (chickpea). RNAcentral describes it as "long non-coding RNA (CARI_LNC002339)". Lineage: Eukaryota; Viridiplantae; Streptophyta; Magnoliopsida; Fabales; Fabaceae. The record is from RNAcentral.